UAUCUCUCCGUACGGGGAAGGAUGAGAAGCUUCGACUAAGGUUCGAUUCGAGCGCAGCGAGAAAGCGUUGCCGC
RNAcentral lists this small RNA (74 nucleotides) under Salmonella enterica subsp. enterica serovar Derby. RNAcentral's name for it is "partial RtT sRNA". It matches the Rfam family "RtT RNA", at positions 1 to 74 of the family's 130-position model. From Rfam's summary of the family: This family represents a bacterial cis-regulatory element known as RtT RNA. The exact function of RtT is unknown although it is thought that it may be involved in changing the cellular response in relation to amino acid starvation. Lineage: Bacteria; Pseudomonadati; Pseudomonadota; Gammaproteobacteria; Enterobacterales; Enterobacteriaceae. The record is from RNAcentral. RNAcentral also lists the same sequence under 4 other names.